UACAGAGGUCUCAAGCGUUGUUCGGAUUCAUUGGGCGUAAAGGGUGCGUAGGCGGCGCGGUAAGUCGGGUGUGAAAUUUCGAGGCUUAACUUCGAAACUGCAUUCGAUACUGCCGUGCUUGAGGACUGGAGAGGAGACUGGAAUUUACGGUGUAGCGGUGAAAUGCGUAGAUAUCGUAAGGAAGACCAGUGGCGAAGGCGACUCUUUGGCCUGUAACUGACACUGAGGCGCGAAAGCGUGGGGAGCAAACAGG
This 253-nucleotide ribosomal RNA is filed under the name uncultured bacterium. Its description in RNAcentral is "partial 16S ribosomal RNA". It matches the Rfam family "Bacterial small subunit ribosomal RNA", at positions 524 to 776 of the family's 1533-position model. The record is from RNAcentral.